ACGCGUGGGAACGUACCUUUUGGUUCGGAACAACACAGGGAAACUUGUGCUAAUACCGGAUAAGCCCUUACGGGGAAAGAUUUAUCGCCGAAAGAUCGGCCCGCGUCUGAUUAGCUAGUUGGUGAGGUAAUGGCUCACCAAGGCGACGAUCAGUAGCUGGUCUGAGAGGAUGAUCAGCCACAUUGGGACUGAGACACGGCCCAAACUCCUACGGGAGGCAGCAGUGGGGAAUAUUGGACAAUGGGGGCAACCCUGAUCCAGCCAUGCCGCGUGAGUGAUGAAGGCCCUAGGGUUGUAAAGCUCUUUUGUGCGGGAAGAUAAUGACGGUACCGCAAGAAUAAGCCCCGGCUAACUUCGUGCCAGCAGCCGCGGUAAUACGAAGGGGGCUAGCGUUGCUCGGAAUCACUGGGCGUAAAGGGUGCGUAGGCGGGUCUUUAAGUCAGGGGUGAAAUCCUGGAGCUCAACUCCAGAACUGCCUUUGAUACUGAGGAUCUUGAGUUCGGGAGAGGUGAGUGGAACUGCGAGUGUAGAGGUGAAAUUCGUAGAUAUUCGCAAGAACACCAGUGGCGAAAGGCGGCUCACUGGCCCGAUACUGACGCUGAGGCACGAAAGCGUGGGGAGCAAACAGGAUUAGAUACCCUGNUAGUCCACGCCGUAAACGAUGAAUGCCAGCCGUUAGUGGGUUUACUCACUAGUGGCGCAGCUAACGCUUUAAGCAUUCCGCCUGGGGAGUACGGUCGCAAGAUUAAAACUCAAAGGAAUUGACGGGGGCCCGCACAAGCGGUGGAGCAUGUGGUUUAAUUCGACGCAACGCGCAGAACCUUACCAGCCCUUGACAUGUCCAGGACCGGUCGCAGAGAUGUGACCUUCUCUUCGGAGCCUGGAGCACAGGUGCUGCAUGGCUGUCGUCAGCUCGUGUCGUGAGAUGUUGGGUUAAGUCCCGCAACGAGCGCAACCCCCGUCCUUAGUUGCUACCAUUUAGUUGAGCACUCUAAGGAGACUGCCGGUGAUAAGCCGCGAGGAAGGUGGGGAUGACGUCAAGUCCUCAUGGCCCUUACGGGCUGGGCUACACACGUGCUACAAUGGCGGUGACAAUGGGAUGCUAAGGGGCGACCCUUCGCAAAUCUCAAAAAGCCGUCUCAGUUCGGAUUGGGCUCUGCAACUCGAGCCCAUGAAGUUGGAAUCGCUAGUAAUCGUGGAUCAGCACGCCACGGUGAAUACGUUCCCGGGCCUUGUACACACCGCCCGUCACACCAUGGGAGUUGGUUUUACCUGAAGACGGUGCGCUUANCCGCAAGNGAGGCAGCCGGCC
This 1312-nucleotide ribosomal RNA is filed under the name Bradyrhizobium japonicum. RNAcentral describes it as "bacterial SSU rRNA". It matches the Rfam family "Bacterial small subunit ribosomal RNA", at positions 113 to 1458 of the family's 1533-position model. Lineage: Bacteria; Pseudomonadati; Pseudomonadota; Alphaproteobacteria; Hyphomicrobiales; Nitrobacteraceae. The record is from RNAcentral.